UUUGGGUGUAGUGGUGUGUACCAAUAGUCCCAGCUGCUUAGGAGGCUGAGGCAGGAGGAUCAAUUGAGUCUAAGAGUUCAUGACCAGCCUAGGCAACACGUUAAGACCUUAUCUCAA
This 117-nucleotide small RNA is filed under the name Marmota monax (woodchuck). The record is from RNAcentral. Lineage: Eukaryota; Metazoa; Chordata; Mammalia; Rodentia; Sciuridae.